UUUCAGAUUUUUUCCGACCGCAGCCCAACUUGGCGACGAAUUCAAAAUUUUUGGCUCCCCGGACUACAAAAUGAGCCCGGAAAAAAAUCACAAGCCCGGGUGGGGGGCCGGGGCUAAAAAUAACAUCUCGUCAGAUCCAAAAAUCCAGUUGUUAGUUAGGGUAGACCAGGGG
Non-coding RNA from Caenorhabditis elegans, 172 nucleotides. Lineage: Eukaryota; Metazoa; Nematoda; Chromadorea; Rhabditida; Rhabditidae. The record is from Ensembl.